RNAcentral lists this ribosomal RNA (497 nucleotides) under uncultured bacterium. RNAcentral's name for it is "partial 16S ribosomal RNA". It matches the Rfam family "Bacterial small subunit ribosomal RNA", at positions 28 to 507 of the family's 1533-position model. The record is from RNAcentral.
GAUGAACGCUGGCGGCGUGCCUAAUACAUGCAAGUCGAGCGAACAGAUGAGGCGCUUGCUCCUCUGACGUUAGCGGCGGACGGGAGAGUAACACGUGGAUCCCCUACCUAUAAGACUGGGAUCAUCUCGGGAAUCCGGAGCUAAUACCGGAUAAUAUAUUGAACCGUAUGGUUCAAUAGUGAAAGACGGUUGUGCUGUAACUUAUCGCUGCAUCCGCGCCGCAUUAGAUAGUUGUGAAGGUAACGGCCUAUCACGGCAACGAUGCGUAACCGAACGGAGAGGGUGGUCGGCCACCCUGGAACUGAGCCGCGGUCCAGACGCCUACGGGAGGCAGCAGUAGGGAAUCGGCCGCAGUGGGCGGAAGCCUUACGGAACGGCGGCGAGUGAGUGAUGAAGGCCUUCGGAGCGGAAAGCUCGGUUUUUAGGGAAGAACAAAUGUGUAAGGAACCGAACACGGCGUGACGGUACCGAAUCAGAAAGCCACGGCUAACUACGUG